UGUAGAAACACCAUUACCAUUCUUACUUGUAUCAUUGUCCUGAUCAGAUGACGGAGCAGUUGAAGCCUUUCUGAAUCCCAUAACCAAUUUUCCUUCUGGCUCUAAUCGACUAAAUGUUACUGUAUCUCCUGCUUGCAAUCGCAUAUUCUGUAUGCAAGGAGUUACCCCUUCCAGAACAUACAUUCUGCUAUUAUUGUUAGGCCAAAAGCGGAAUUGAAAUACCCAUUCUUUCCCUUUAGAAUCCUGGACCUUAAGUGGUAACCCUUCAGGAUGUGAGAUUGGCGGAAAAUAGGCCUCUGCACAUUUUUUUGGCAGCACCAAACGCCCAAUUCGGCCAGCAUCACUAGCGCUCAACAUUUUCUCAAACAAAGGGGUGAUUACAGAAUUUGAAUUUCCAGAGAUCUGCUGUAGCUCUUCAUCAGUAAACCUAGGCCAGUACCGAGGAAGUAACUGGCUUCUU
This 460-nucleotide unclassified non-coding RNA is filed under the name Hevea brasiliensis (rubber tree). The record is from RNAcentral. Lineage: Eukaryota; Viridiplantae; Streptophyta; Magnoliopsida; Malpighiales; Euphorbiaceae.